AUUCAUUGCUUCUGGUCCUCCUCUUACCUUUUUCUUCGACAGAUAUUUCUACCACUCAAAACUUUCCGUCUGCACUGCAUGUUGAAUUGUUUUGGCAAAAAGUACACGUAACCACAAAUACGUGUUUGAUUUUUUAUUUCCGGUUUGAAGGUCAAAUUAAGUGUAUGUUUGAAAAAUAUGACGAUUUAAAAUUGUGAAAAGAAAAUUACUUUUUGCGUGGCAAGUGAAGGUGUGGCCCGAUUCUAAAGAAGCUGGGCACUCGAAUUGACAACAGAAUCUGUUAAACUUGAUGACCAAAGAACCUUCUUUUCCCCAUCUAUUACUACCAGAUUGCCGUCUUCGGAUAUGGUAAGGGGCUUGUUUCUGUUAGCAACCCAUAUGAAAGUGGGUGCAGAGAUUUCAGCAUACCAAAUCCUAACAUAGCGAUCGGUAGAAUUUGGAGGGCUGAAAAAAUCCCAGUAUGAAGUUACCGCCAUUAGAGAUUAUGGUUUCACGGUCUUUGAUGACUGUUAACUACAGAAGGCAGUCGAAAUCUGUUAACUGCUCCCAUAUUUUCAGUUCUUCCGUCAGAAAAGCAAAUGCGAGUAUUUGCACCAGCUCCAGCCGGUUUCCGUAAGGUAAUAUUAGCAACAAAUAUUGCUGAGACAUCGGUGACAAUACCUGGAAUCAGGUAUGUUAUAGAUCCUGGAUUUGUAAAAGCACGCUCCUAUGAUCCGGUCAAAGGGAUGGAAUCCUUGGUCAUUGUUCCAACAUC
Alnus glutinosa is the source of this 754-nucleotide long non-coding RNA. RefSeq lists it as uncharacterized. The record is from RefSeq and is a predicted model, not a curated record. NCBI's taxonomy places the organism in Eukaryota, Viridiplantae, Streptophyta, Magnoliopsida, Fagales, Betulaceae. The transcript is spliced from 3 exons.